GUACUUGCUGUGGGAGAACAAAUUCUAAAAUUGGAACGACUUUAGAAUAUUAACAUGCCCCAUAUGCAAGGAUAACAUACAAAAUCGCGAAGUGUUCCAAAUUUAU
This 106-nucleotide small nuclear RNA is filed under the name Lepeophtheirus salmonis (salmon louse). Lineage: Eukaryota; Metazoa; Arthropoda; Copepoda; Siphonostomatoida; Caligidae. The record is from RNAcentral.